Non-coding RNA from Hyaena hyaena (striped hyena), 602 nucleotides. Lineage: Eukaryota; Metazoa; Chordata; Mammalia; Carnivora; Hyaenidae. The record is from the annotation of a RefSeq genome assembly.
AGAAGUCAGGAAACACCCAGAUUUGUGAAGGAAGAGACUCUUGCAAGUGUCUCUGGAACAUAUUUAGCCAAGAUUCUAGAGCACUGACUGCACACAUUCUUCCUUGUUGCAAGGGUGGUAUUUCCCCAGCUAUACUCCUUCUUGCUCAGGGAAGAUCUUCAAAAAGGAUCCCACAGCUUCUUCACUCCUCAGCCAUGAGCUUGGCCUCUGUCCCCAUGCUUGUGUUUAUGAUACUUUCUGCCCCGAGAGGAACCGGAGCCCAGUCAGUGACCCAGCCUGACCUCCACAUUACUGUCUCUGAAGAAGCCCCUCUGGAGCUGAGGUGCAACUACUCGUCUUCAUUUCAGGUGUAUGUUUUCUGGUACAUACAGUACCCCAACCAAGGACUGCGGCUUCUCCUGAAGUACAUAGCAGGGGACACCCUGGUGAAAUGUACUGGAGGUUUCGAGGCUGAGUUUAAGAAUAGUGAAAAGUCCUUCCACCUGAGAAAACCUUCCGUCCAUGGGAACGAUGCAGCCAAGUACUUCUGUGCUGUGAGUGACACAGUGCCUGGGACCGCAGGGGGGGCUGAACACAAACUUCUGGUGAAUGUAGGCUUCUAG